Molecule: ribosomal RNA, 433 nt
Filed under: uncultured bacterium
Lineage: Bacteria
Description: partial 16S ribosomal RNA
Rfam family: Bacterial small subunit ribosomal RNA
Source: RNAcentral
AACGAACGCUGGCGGCAUGCCUAACACAUGCAAGUCGAACGAGACCUUCGGGUCUAGUGGCGCACGGGUGCGUAACGCGUGGGAACCUGCCUUUAGGUUCGGAAUAACUCAGAGAAAUUUGAGCUAAUACCGGAUGAUGUCUUCGGACCAAAGAUUUAUCGCCUUUGGAUGGGCCCGCGUUGGAUUAGCUAGUUGGUGGGGUAAAGGCCUACCAAGGCGACGAUCCAUAGCUGGUCUGAGAGGAUGAUCAGCCACACUGGGACUGAGACACGGCCCAGACUCCUACGGGAGGCAGCAGUGGGGAAUAUUGGACAAUGGGCGAAAGCCUGAUCCAGCAAUGCCGCGUGAGUGAUGAAGGCCUUAGGGUUGUAAAGCUCUUUUACCCGGGAUGAUAAUGACAGUAUCGGGAGAAUAAGCUCCGGCUAACUCCGUG